This 1057-nucleotide long non-coding RNA is filed under the name Lathyrus oleraceus (garden pea). RNAcentral describes it as "Pisum sativum (pea) long non-coding RNA (PSAT_LNC027645)". The record is from RNAcentral. Lineage: Eukaryota; Viridiplantae; Streptophyta; Magnoliopsida; Fabales; Fabaceae.
CUCUCUCUGUCAUUUGGUGGAGAAAACCAUUUUUUUCUCACAAUCCACUACCCCUUAAACCUCACAACAACGUUAACCUCUCAUAGUCUCUCUCGAUCUCAUUUUUCUUCAGAGUAAAAAACUCUCAUUGCUAACAACACAUAGCUCACCUCUUAGAUCUAUUUUCUCCCAAAAUUGAAAAUUUCCACGACAUGUUUCUCCUCCCCUACAACAAUAACCAAACUCACCAUGUUUUCUCCUCCCUCCAUUAACAAAUCACUCAAUUAGAGUAUUUUUCCCUGUAUCUAAUCACUUAAGAUGGUGGUCUUAUAUCAAAAACUUCUCCUUUAUAAGUUCCCUUCUAGAUAAAAACAUGUUUAGUGAGGAGUUCUUUUGGAUCUGACUGAAGUGUCUUGUUUAUUUUAUGGACGAACUCUAGAGUCGGUUUCUCAUUUAUUUGUCACUUGUAAGGUAACCUCGAUGUUAUGGUAUAUGAUCUUUAGGCUUUUAGGGUGAUAUUUUGUCAUUCGUAAGGAUAUCCCACUGAUUUCUUAGUGAUUUUUUUAGCUUAGUUGGAUUGUUUAGGACUAUAGGUGAUUUAGUCAUGAUCUUGCAUUCCAUUGUUUGGUUUAUUUGAAUCUACUAAAAUUAUCUGGUUUUCUUAAGCACACUUAUUGAGGUGAAGGACUUGGAGGACAUGAGAAUUGUCCAGGCAUGUAAAUGAUGUCUUGGGAGUUUCCGAACUACUUUAUCCCUUUCUUUGGUUGGAUAGAGAAUCUUAUUUUUUCUCUGAGCCAAUAGAGAUCUUGACUUUUUUUUUGUUGUUUAUCAAGUGGAGUAUCCUUAUUUUUUCUCUAGAGGACUUUAUUUCUGUUAGUUGGGCUCUAGCUGGAGUAUCCUUGUUGGAGCGGGACAUGCUUUUCUGGGUUUGUCUUUUUUGUGGUUCUAUUUGUUAGAAGUGUUGCUCCUGUUACUAAAUUUUAGGGCUUUACUGUGUUUAUUUUUCUUUGUAUGUUUUUGGUUGUUGCCACUUAUCUUCUUUUGCCUAUGUUAGGCACACAUAGUGCCAAUUUGUAGG